UUCUUAAUGAGUUUAAUUUUAAGUAACACCUGCUCAAUGAUUUAUUUAAAUAGCCGCGGAAAUUUAACCGUGCUAAGGUAGCAUAAUCAUUAGUCCUUUAAUUAAGGACUUGUAUGAAUGGUGAGACAUUUCAAUUACUUUAUUAAUUUAUUCUUUUUAAAUUAAACUAAGAAUAAAAAUGUUCUUAUUUUUAAAAAAGACGACAAGACCCUUUUGAACUUUACUAUUGUUUAGCUGGGGCAGCUAAAAAAGAAAAAUUUUUUAUAUUUUUUUUUUAAUAAAUGACCCAAUAAAAUUGAUUAUUUGAUCAAGUUACCAUAGGGAUAACAGCGUAAUACUUUAUUUAAGUUCUUAUUUAAUAAAAUGAUUGCGACCUCGAUGUUGAAUUAAUGUAACUUUAAUAAUGCAAUAAUUUUAAAAGUAGGUCUGUUCGACCUUUAAAACAUUACAU
This 451-nucleotide ribosomal RNA is filed under the name Cyrtarachne bufo. RNAcentral describes it as "partial 16S large subunit ribosomal RNA". It matches the Rfam family "Bacterial large subunit ribosomal RNA", at positions 1830 to 2601 of the family's 2925-position model. Lineage: Eukaryota; Metazoa; Arthropoda; Arachnida; Araneae; Araneidae. The record is from RNAcentral.